This 495-nucleotide ribosomal RNA is filed under the name uncultured bacterium. RNAcentral's name for it is "partial 16S ribosomal RNA". It matches the Rfam family "Bacterial small subunit ribosomal RNA", at positions 28 to 507 of the family's 1533-position model. The record is from RNAcentral.
GACGAACGCUGGCGGCGUGCCUAAUACAUGCAAGUAGAACGCUGAAGGAGGAGCUUACUUCUCUGGAUGAGUUGCGAACGGGUGAGUAACGCGUAGGUAACCUGCCUGGUAGCGGGGGAUAACUAUUGGAAACGAUAGCUAAUACCGCAUAAUAGUAGAUGUUGCAUGACAUUUGCUUAAAAGGUGCAAUUGCAUCACUACCAGAUGGACCUGCGUUGUAUUAGCUAGUUGGUGGGGUAACGGCUCACCAAGGCGACGAUACAUAGCCGACCUGAGAGGGUGAUCGGCCACACUGGGACUGAGACACGGCCCAGACUCCUACGGGAGGCAGCAGUAGGGAAUCUUCGGCAAUGGACGGAAGUCUGACCGAGCAACGCCGCGUGAGUGAAGAAGGUUUUCGGAUCGUAAAGCUCUGUUGUAAGAGAAGAACGAGUGUGAGAGUGGAAAGUUCACACUGUGACGGUAUCUUACCAGAAAGGGACGGCUAACUACGUG